AAAAUUGCUUGCCUGCUAUGCAAAGGCUAAAAGAACAAAACAAAAACCCCUCAUCCACAACUGCUAAAAUGCUUCCCUGCCUGCACUGACUAGUCAAAAAAACCAGAAUGGCAAACAAAAGAUUUGUUACUAAAAAUUCAAGGCCACCUGGAGAUUGUUUUUUCUUAUACAAUUCAGCCAGUCCUAGCUAAAAAUAAAGAAGUACAAUUCCUAACAGAAUAAUGCUAGCCCAGCACUUUGAGGGGACAACAAAGGACUAAGGAAAAAAAAUUGGACUUAAUAAUAGACUCCAGGUGGACUUAGCCUAAGUGCCACUCCCUUAAAGCCUCCCUGCCCUCAAAGGUGGCUAAAAGGGUUUUAACACUGACUUUUAGUUGCCAAUCACUCCUGCCAAUGCAGGAUGCAGGACCAGACCAAUAACCCGGGAAAGGUCUAUUCUGUCACCAAGGGACAAUCAAAGCCUAACUACAAGAUGAUUCAUCAUAGAUACUUUCGGAAAAACAUCUUCAUCAAGAGAGGGAAAGGUGAAAGCUGUCAGAAUCAAGAGUCAUGUUUCCAAAAGCCCUGACAAAUGGAGCCAGGGAAGUCCAUGAAGAGAGGGAUUUUACGCACUACCUCAAAGACCCAGAAGAAACCACGCCAGCUUGCACAAACACUAUUCGCAACCUUACACAGAAAAUACUUUUGGGACAUCUGCCUAGAAGCCGAUUGUCCAAACCCGAACUGGCAGCAUCCUUGUUAUUAAUCCUUGUAGCCAAGAAUAAUUAUUUCAAGACAAUUAUAUAAUCUUUAUCUGUCCUUUAAAAACCUGUCUUCCUUUACCUUCCUGAAUACACACAGUUUACUAUGGCAUGCAUAUUGCCUUCACAAUGCCCUAUUCCCAAAUAAACAUCAUUUUCUUUUAGAAAGCCUCUGUUAUUUAGGUUGACAGUUAUUACACCUGAAAACUAAAUUCUAGCUGAUCAAUAAAAUUCUUUGGUUCUACUGUAUACUUUUAUUUGGGGAUAUCUGCUUCCAAACACACUAAAGUACAGUAUACUCAAUUUUAAAUAUAGACAGUAUAUUUAAAAAAAACAUAAAAAGUAUGUCGAACAUUUUUAAUUUCAAACACCAAACUUAAAUAGACUAAUAACACAGAUCUUCUGUGGUCCACAAAUCAUGGCAAAAAACUUUGUUUUCAUAUGCCCAUUAUGGCUUGCUGACUGGCUUACUGCAUUUUAGAUUUUCCUUAUGA
RNAcentral lists this long non-coding RNA (1234 nucleotides) under Homo sapiens (human). Its description in RNAcentral is "HSALNT0250970". The record is from RNAcentral. Lineage: Eukaryota; Metazoa; Chordata; Mammalia; Primates; Hominidae.